Molecule: long non-coding RNA, 162 nt
Organism: Rhinichthys klamathensis goyatoka
Lineage: Eukaryota; Metazoa; Chordata; Actinopteri; Cypriniformes; Leuciscidae
Exons: 2
Source: RefSeq, a predicted model, not a curated record
AUUUUAUGUUAGUGUACACAAUGCAGUGCUGUUUCUUUAUUUGCAAAAAAAAAAUAAAGUUUAGUCUUCAGUGCUGCUCUCUAGUGUUUGAAAGUUAUCAAAACAUCUAAGGUGACAAUAUAAGCCUUAUUGCAUUUUAAAUCUAUUAAAUGAAAAAAAUAU